This 400-nucleotide ribosomal RNA is filed under the name uncultured bacterium. Its description in RNAcentral is "bacterial SSU rRNA". It matches the Rfam family "Bacterial small subunit ribosomal RNA", at positions 32 to 409 of the family's 1533-position model. The record is from RNAcentral.
AAUCAACGCUGGCGGCGUGCCUCAGACAUGCAAGUCGAACGAGAAAGUUUCCUUCGGGAGACGAGUACAGUGGCGUCCGGGUGAGUAACACGUGGGUAAUUUACCUUUGGGUGGGGAAUAGCAGCCGGAAACGGCUAUUAAUACCGCAUAAUGCAGCGGCUCGACAUCGAGACAGUUGUUAAAGCGGGGAUCUGACAAGGGACCUCGCGCCUAAAGAGAAGCCUGCGCAGAUUAGCUAGUUGGUAGGGUAAUGGCCUACCAAGGCUGUGAUCUGUAGCCGGCCUGAGAGGGCGGUCGGCCACACUGACACUGACACACGGGUCAGACUCCUACGGGAGGCAGCAGUCGGGAAUUUUGGGCAAUGGGCGCAAGCCUGACCCAGCAACGCCGCGUGAAGGAU